This 388-nucleotide long non-coding RNA is filed under the name Homo sapiens (human). RNAcentral's name for it is "HSALNT0320100". Lineage: Eukaryota; Metazoa; Chordata; Mammalia; Primates; Hominidae. The record is from RNAcentral.
ACCAUGUCGUCAAUAAUUCUAAAUCGAGAAAUUUUAUUUUGGCCAGGAGCUGAAGUUGGUUGUUUAGUAGUAGUAGUUUGAGUAGUGACCGAAGUAGUAGUCUGGUGUGUGGGUGGGGCAGCUGUGGUCUCUGGUGGAGCUGAGGCGGAUGAUGGGUCUAGGGUAGUUGCAGAAGGUGUGGGUGGGGCAGCUGUGGUCUCUGGUGGAGCUGAGGAAGAUGGUGGAGCUUGUGUAGUUGCAGAAGGUGUGGGUGGGGCAGCUGUGGUGUCUUGUGGAGCUGGGGAAUUCACUGGUGCUAAUGUAGCUACAGAAGAGCUUGUGUUAACAUUUUCUCUUGAAGAUAUGGUGGUGGCAUUCUGGGGAAGAAAAGUCACAUUUGGAAGGGUAG